UAAGUAUAAACUGCUUAUACUGUGAAACGCGAAUGGUCAUUAAAUCAGUUAUAGUUAUUUGAUGGUACCUACUACUCGGAUCCCGUAGUAAAUCAGAGUAAUACGUCGUAAAUCCCGACUUCUGGAAGGGACGUAUUUAUUAGAUAAAAGGCCGACCGGCUCUGCCCGACUCGCGGUGAUCAUGAAACUUCACGAAUCGCAUGGCCUUGGCCGGCGAUGUUUCAUUCAAAUUCUGCCCUAUCAACUUUCGAUUAGGAUAGAGGCCUACAUGGUGGUAACGGGUGACGGAGAUAGGGUUCGAUUCCGGAGAGGGAGCCUGAGAAACGGCUACCACAUCCAAGGAAGCAGCAGGCGCGCAAAUUACCCAAUCCUGACACAGGGAGGUAGGACAUAAAUAACAAAUGGGCCUUUUCAGGUCUGGUAAGGAAUGAGUACAAUCUAAACCCCUUAACGAGGCAAUUGGAGGGCAAGUCUGGUGCCAGCAGCGCGGUAAUCCAGCUCCAAUAGCGUAUAUUAAGUUGCUGCAGUUAAAAAGCCGUAGUUGGAUUUCGGGUGGGGCCGCCGGUCCGCCGUUUCGGUGUGCACUGGCAGGCCCACCUUGUGCCGGGGACGGGCUCCUGGGCUCACUGUCGGGACUCGGAGUCGGCGCUGUUACUUGAGUAAAUUAGGUGUUCAAAGCAGGCCUACGCUCUGAUACAUAGCAUGGAAAACCGAUAGGAUCUGGCCUAUCCUGUGGUCUGUAGGACCGGAGUAAUGAUAAGAGGGACAGUCGGGGGCAUUCGUAUUUCAUUGUCAGAGGUAAAUCUUGGAUUUAUGAAGACGAAUACUGCGAAAGCAUUUGCCAAGGAUUUUCAUUAAUCAAGAACGAAAGUUGGGGGCUCGAAGACGAUUAGAUACCGUCCUAGUCUAACCAUAAACGAUGCCGACUAGGAUCGGCGGAUGUUUCUUCGAUGACUCCCCGGCACCUUAUGAGAAAUCAAAGUUUUUGGUUCCGGGGGGAGUAUGGUGCAAGGCUGAAACUUAAAGGAAUUGACGGAAGGGCACCACCAGGCGUGGAGCCUGCGGCUUAAUUUGACUAACACGGGAAACUUACCAGGUCCAGAAUAGUGAGGAUUACAGAUUGAGAGCUCUUUUUGAUCUAUGGUGGGUGCAUGGCCGUCUAGUUGGUGGGUUGCCUUGUCAGGUUGAUUCCGGUAACGAACGAGACUCGCCUCUAAAUAGUCACGGUUGGCUCGCCAGCCGGCGGACUUCAGAGGGACUAUUGGGACUGCCAAUGGAAGCAUGAGGCAAUAACAGGUCUGUAUGCCCUUAGAUGUUCUGGGCCGCACGCGCGUACACUGUGCAUUCAACGAGCCUAGCCUUGGCCGAGAGGCCGGGAAUCUUUAAACGCAUCGUGAUGGGAUAGAUAUUGCAAUUAUUAAUUCAACGAGGAUGCCUAGUAAGCGCAAGUCAUCAGCUUGCUUGAUACGUCCCUGCCUUUGUACACACCGCCCGUCGUCCUACCGAUUGGGGUGCUGGUAAGUGUUCGGUGGCGACCGGGGCGGUCCGCUUCGGCCGCCGAGAAGUUCAUUAACCCUCCCA
Molecule: ribosomal RNA, 1581 nt
Filed under: Chlorella sorokiniana
Lineage: Eukaryota; Viridiplantae; Chlorophyta; Trebouxiophyceae; Chlorellales; Chlorellaceae
Description: SSU rRNA
Rfam family: Eukaryotic small subunit ribosomal RNA
Source: RNAcentral